AUUGAACGCUGGCGGCAGGCCUAACACAUGCAAGUCGAGCGGAUGAAGGGAGCUUGCUCCUGGAUUCAGCGGCGGACGGGUGAGUAAUGCCUAGGAAUCUGCCUGGUAGUGGGGGAUAACGUCCGGAAACGGGCGCUAAUACCGCAUACGUCCUGAGGGAGAAAGUGGGGGAUCUUCGGACCUCACGCUAUCAGAUGAGCCUAGGUCGGAUUAGCUAGUUGGUGGGGUAAAGGCCUACCAAGGCGACGAUCCGUAACUGGUCUGAGAGGAUGAUCAGUCACACUGGAACUGAGACACGGUCCAGACUCCUACGGGAGGCAGCAGUGGGGAAUAUUGAACAAAGGGCGAAAGCCUGAUCCAGCCAUGCCGCGUGUGUGAAGAAGGUCUUCGGAUUGUAAAGCACUUUAAGUUGGGAGGAAGGGCAGUAAGUUAAUACCUUGCUGUUUUGACGUUACCAACAGAAUAAGCACCGGCUAACUUCGUG
Molecule: ribosomal RNA, 484 nt
Filed under: uncultured bacterium
Lineage: Bacteria
Description: partial 16S ribosomal RNA
Rfam family: Bacterial small subunit ribosomal RNA
Source: RNAcentral